RNAcentral lists this ribosomal RNA (216 nucleotides) under Glomeromycotina sp. RNAcentral describes it as "partial small subunit ribosomal RNA". The stretch from base 40 to 216 matches the Rfam family "Eukaryotic small subunit ribosomal RNA", at positions 686 to 864 of the family's 1831-position model. The record is from RNAcentral. Lineage: Eukaryota; Fungi; Glomeromycota.
GGGUCAGUAGGUUGGUCGUGCCACCGGUACGUACUGGUCUCACUGAUUCCUCCUUCCUGAAGAACCGUAAUGCCAUUAAUUUGGUGUUGCGGGGAAGCAGGACUGUUACUUUGGAAAAGUUAGAGUGUUUAAAGCAAGCUAACGCUUGAAUACAUUAGCAUGGAAUAAUGAAAUAGGACGAUCGAUCCUAUUUUGUUGGUUUCUAGGAUUGACGUA